UACGAAGGGGGCUAGCGUUGCUCGGAAUGACUGGGCGUAAAGGGCGCGUAGGCGGAUGGCACAGUCAGAUGUGAAAUUCCCGGGCUUAACCUGGGGGCUGCAUUUGAUACGUGUUGUCUUGAGUUCGGAAGAGGGUCGUGGAAUUCCCAGUGUAGAGGUGAAAUUCGUAGAUAUUGGGAAGAACACCGGUGGCGAAGGCGGCGACCUGGUCCGACACUG
This 219-nucleotide ribosomal RNA is filed under the name uncultured bacterium. Its description in RNAcentral is "partial 16S ribosomal RNA". It matches the Rfam family "Bacterial small subunit ribosomal RNA", at positions 524 to 742 of the family's 1533-position model. The record is from RNAcentral.